Molecule: ribosomal RNA, 639 nt
Filed under: uncultured organism
Description: bacterial SSU rRNA
Rfam family: Bacterial small subunit ribosomal RNA
Source: RNAcentral
UGAGUUUGAUCCUGGCUCAGGACGAACGCUGGCGGCGUGCUUAACACAUGCAAGUCACGGGGGGUCGCAAGACCAACCGGCGAACGGGUGCGUAACACGUGAGCAACCUACCGAUUUGUGGGGGAUAGCUGUCCUAACGGGCAGGUAAUACCGCAUACGCUCUUUGGGUCACCUGACCCGAUGAGGAAACCUCCGGGGCAAAUCGCGGGGCUCGCGGCUUAUCAGCUAGUUGGCGAGGUAAUGGCUCACCAAGGCGACGACGAGUAGCUGGUCUGAGAGGAUGGCCAGCCACAUUGGGACUGAGAAACGGCCCAGACUCCUACGGGAGGCAGCAGUGGGGAAUCUUGCGCAAUGGGCGAAAGCCUGACGCAGCGACGCCGCGUGGGGGAUGACGGGUUUCGGCUUGUAAACCCCUGUUGCCCGGGACGAACUUCUCCAUUCGUGGAGAUUGACGGUACCGGGUGAGGAAGCACCGGCUAACUCUGUGCCAGCAGCCGCGGUAAUACAGAGGGUGCGAGCGUUGUCCGGAAUCACUGGGCGUAAAGGGCGCGUAGGUGGCGUCGCAAGUCGAUGGUGAAAGCUCGGCGCUCAACGCCGAGUCGGCCCUUGAUACUGCGAGGCUGGAUCACCUCCUUUCUA